RNAcentral lists this ribosomal RNA (388 nucleotides) under uncultured methanogenic archaeon. RNAcentral's name for it is "bacterial SSU rRNA". It matches the Rfam family "Archaeal small subunit ribosomal RNA", at positions 40 to 437 of the family's 1478-position model. The record is from RNAcentral. Lineage: Archaea; Methanobacteriati; Methanobacteriota.
UCGACUAGCAUGCGAGUCGAUGUAGCAUACAUGGCGUACUGCUCAGUAACACGUGGACUACCUACCCUUAGGCCUGGGAUAACCCCGGGAAACUGGGAAUAAUACCGGAUAUCUCGCGAAUGCUGGAAUGCGUCGCGAUAGAAAGCUCCGGCGCCUAAGGAUGGGUCUGCGGCCUAUCAGGGUAGUAGUGGGUGUAACGUACCUACUAGCCUACGACGGGUACGGGUUGUGAGAGCAAGAGCCCGGAGAUGGAUUCUGAGACACGAAUCCAGGCCCUACGGGGUGCAGCAGGCGCGAAAACUUUACAAUGCUGGAAACAGCGAUAAGGGGACCUCGAGCGCCAGGAUACAAUCCUGGCUGUCGUAAUGCCUAAAAAGCAUUGCAUAGC